AACCUGUGUUUACUGCCUGACCAGAAGGUCCACCUCUCCCUGGGCUAAUUUAAGGGCUAACCUCUAAAGGAAGAACGUCUCCUGGAUGAAGGUUGUUUCUGGAGGAGGAGUAUUUUAUAGUUAGUGACCCUAUUGCCAUUUGGAAGAGCAAAGGGAUAUAUAUAUGCUACACUGUACAGUAGGUCCUUGGAGGCUUUCAAGGAAAAAGCCUAGAAGAUCUCUACAGCCAGCUGGCGAAGAUGGAAAGCAUCAAGUCAAUAGACUUAAAACUGGCUUGCAAUCUAGAGAUGUUUAUAGAUCUCGCUGAUGAGGAAAGGUUAUGCUAAGUGAUGCGCAAGCAAAUGCUCACCAUCCCCCAGCUGAAGCUCAGCUAGCCCUGCAAGCAGUGGAUUACAGCAGAUGAAUUUCCACUUCCUUCAAAACUCCCUUCUCUUGUUGUCACGUGGUAUGGAAUAUCUUUUUGGCCAGUUAAGUCAGCUGUUCUAAUUUUGUUCUGUGCCAGAUCCUUGGGCCCUUUGCUGUGUAUUGUCUUGGCUCUAUAAAACACCGCUUAGCAGUUAACUAUAAAUAUUCUCAUGUUAUCAGUGUUGACCUAAAACAGUCAUACCAGGCACUCUGAAGAAAAUCAUUCUAUCCCAGCUGACAGGUAGAGAUUUAAUCUUCAUGGAAACUGAAUUUCACAAAUUGAGUGUGUUCAUGUGUUGGGUUCAGGGCUGCCCAGGCCCAAGAAUUUUUCUCCACUACAGCCUACAUCUUCUUUCCUGUAGACCUUCUUGAAUGUACCAAGAUCCAUUAGAAUUAAGGAGUUAUAAAAGUUAUUUAAUGAGAGCAAAGACCAUGCAAGGAAACAAGUAUUAAUUGGCUUUUAGGGAACAAAAAAGGCUUGGAAGAAGUCUCUAACCUGCAGCUGGAACAAUUAAUAGCCAUUGGUCUUGGAAAGAAACUCCUUUUUAUUUGAAUUUGGGAAGGGACGUAUUGGUUAGAGGAGACAGAGUUCCUGUUUUUCUGCAGACAGGAGUUGUUCCGGAACAGGGUGGCAGAUCUAUCAGGUACCAAACAAACAGUUUGAUUUUUGUAAAGAGAUUGCCUGGGGAUAAAUGGUUGUUCAUACUAAAGAACCUUUCUGUGUAUUUUGAGAGAACCUACUCUGUAUCUUGUCACCCAGGCACCUGCUCUAUUCAGCAGUCAUAUUUUCCCUGGUCUUCUGCAAUCUUAGUACCUCUAGGGGCUCUUCUAGUUGUCUUUGACAUACCUCACCAAAUUCAGUUCCAGCUGGGCUUUGGUUUUCCUAACUUUCUGUGCAUGUUUGAACAGUUUCCUUGUAUUUCUCCCAGACUACUUGUCCUUGCUUCAACCUUCCAUAUUAUUACCUUGCUGUUGCUCAUAGUUAAGUAUUAUGAAACAGUGAAGUCUUUAAAAACAAUUGAAAAUGUACUACAAAAGAAGGGAGAAAGUCUUUACUGUUCUGUUGAUACUCAUCCAAAAGCAUUAAAAGUAUGUUAACUUUGUGAAGUUGUACCAUAUGCAGGAGUACAACUAUUUUCCAACUGUUACAACAUAUCUAUUCAGUAUGAGAGUAGCUUUAGGCAUGAAAUAAAACUUUGAUUGCCAUUAUUUUAAACUUAUGUGGAAGAAUGUUUAUGGUACUCCUAGAAACGUUGCAUUGAAUUGCACACAUUUCCCAGAUUUAUAUUGAUCUAAGAGAAGUCAUUAGCAAUCUGCAUUUUUGAGAUCAUUAUUGGUACAACAGGGUGGAGUGAGUCACCGAAAGCUUAGUGACAUAGAGCUGGGAAGCAAAAAAUGCGUACCAUUUGUUCAGUGUUGCAUCUGAAUUAGUAUAUUAUGAUCAGAGACUUAAAUUGCCUUUUUAUGCUUUGCUUUUCAAAAUGUGAUUUUAGUAAAAGUACUGACUGAGAAAUUUGAAAUGAUUCCUCUCUGUCCUUGAACAGACGCAACUAUUGGAAAGG
Molecule: long non-coding RNA, 1967 nt
Organism: Lagopus muta (rock ptarmigan)
Lineage: Eukaryota; Metazoa; Chordata; Aves; Galliformes; Phasianidae
Exons: 3
Source: RefSeq, a predicted model, not a curated record